GGGUAUAUAGCUCAAGUGGUAGAGCGCAUGCUCAGCACACAAGAGGUCCCGGGUUCAAUCCCUGGUACCUCCU
Camelus ferus (Wild Bactrian camel) is the source of this 73-nucleotide transfer RNA. It matches the Rfam family "tRNA". From Rfam's summary of the family: Transfer RNA (tRNA) molecules are approximately 80 nucleotides in length. The record is from Rfam. NCBI's taxonomy places the organism in Eukaryota, Metazoa, Chordata, Mammalia, Artiodactyla, Camelidae.